CCUACGGGGGACAGCAGUGAGGAAUAUUGGUCAAUGGGCGCGAGCCUGAACCAGCCAAGUAGCGUGAAGGAUGACUGCCCUACGGGUUGUAAACUUCUUUUAUAAAGGAAUAAAGUGAGGCACGUGUGCCUUUUUGUAUGUACUUUAUGAAUAAGGAUCGGCUAACUCCGUGCCAGCAGCCGCGGUAAUACGGAGGAUCCGAGCGUUAUCCGGAUUUAUUGGGUUUAAAGGGAGCGUAGACGGCCAUGCAAGCCAGGGGUGAAAGCCUGCGGCCCAACCCCGAAACUGCCAUUGAAACUGGAUGGCUGGAGUGCAGGUGGGGCAGGCGGAAUUCGUGGUGUAGCGGUGAAAUGCGUAGAUAUCAGGAGGAACUCCGAUGGCGAAGGCAGCUUGCUGAACUGCGACUGACGUUGAGGCUCGAAAGCGUGGGGAGCGAACAGGAUUAGAUACCCCUGUAGUC
This 460-nucleotide ribosomal RNA is filed under the name uncultured bacterium. Its description in RNAcentral is "partial 16S ribosomal RNA". It matches the Rfam family "Bacterial small subunit ribosomal RNA", at positions 338 to 795 of the family's 1533-position model. The record is from RNAcentral.